AGGAAAUGUUAAUUUAUGUCGAUAAGUAUUUUUUUUAUCAAGUCAAGUGAAUGUUGGAGGUAUACGUAAUCCCGAAGAAACUCUGACGACUUGCGAGAAUUUUUGGUGAACAUUCCGUAUUAGGAAUUUCCAGGAAUGUAACAGGUUUUAUUCCUGAAAAUUCCUGCAAUGAUUUCCAAGUUAACUUUCUUGGGUCCUUUGGAAGAAAAAUUUUUUUUUUCAGAAAAGAUUUAGUAAGAUUGUGGUAUAUAUUGUUUAAUUCGGAUGUGGGAUUAUAGGCAAAUUUCGGUGGAAAUGCUUUAACAUUUUAAUAUUAAGCUUCCGAUUAAUUCCUGAAGCAUUUCUGGUACAACUCCUCCAGGAUUUCUCUGGGAAUUUCUCCAGGAUUUGACUGGGAAUAGCUACAUAAAUUAUUCAAAAAUCCCCUCCAGAACUUCCAUGAAAUUUACUUCAGGAGUUCCCCUAGAAGUCCUUCAGCAAUGAUGCAUGGUUCUCUCAGGAUUUCCCUGGAGUUUUUCCCGUUUUUUUUUUCAAAAUUCCUAAAGAAGCCCCUCCGAUAUAUUUCCAAGAGUUCGCAAAACAUUCCGGAUUUUUUUCCAGAAGUUAGUCGGGAACUCCUAUAGGAUGGUUUCGGAAAUUCCUCCAGCAGUACCUCAGAAAUUCCUUUAGAAGUUCCUCGGGAAUUCCUACAAGAAAUCCUCGGGAAUUCCUCUAGGAAUGUGUUCCUAGAGGAAUUCGAAUUCUUCCAGGAGGACCUCGGGCAUUCCUUCAGGAAAGCAUCGGGAAUUCCUCCAGAAGAUUCUUGGGAAACCCUCCUGGAGAUCGUCGGGAAAAUUUCUCAAAGAGUUUCUUAUGAUUUCCACCAGAAGUCCUUCGGGUACUCCACCAGAAAUUCUACGGGAAUUCCUCCAUAAGUUUCCCGAGAAUUCUGACAGGAGUUUCUCAGACAUUCCUCUAUGAGUUCCUCGGAAAUUUCUUCAGGAGUUCAUACAGGAAUUCCUGAGUUCUUCGGGAAUUCAUUCAGGAGAUCUUUGGGAACCCUUGCAGAAGAUCGUCGAAAAACCUUCCAGGAGAUCCUUGGUGAUCCUCCAGUAAAUUCACGAGAAUUCAUCCGGGAUAUCCUCGGCGAUUUUUCCAGGAGUUCUUCGGAAUUUCUCCAGCAGAUCCUCGAGAGUUUAUCGGAAAUUCCCCUAGGAUUUAAUCGAAAAUUCCUCUAGGAAUUUCUUUAAAAGUUUCUUGGGAAUAACUCCAGGAAUUCUUGAGAAUUUCUUCAGCAUUCUUCCUCGGCAAUUUUCUCUGAGAUUCAUCGGGAAUUCCUCUGGGAGUUGAGUGUUUCUAGGAAAUCCCUCCAAGAGAAUUCCUUCAGAGUUCCUGAAGAUUUUUUUUGCAAUCCCUCGGGAAUUUCUCUAGAUUUUCCAGAUACCUACUGCAGGAGAUUUCCUGAGAAUAUUCUGGAGUUAUUCAUAGGAACAUCCAGUGGAUCUUCUGAUAAACUCCUCAAACAAUUCUUGAUAAUCUCCUGGAAGAAUUGCCGAGAAAAUUCUAGAAGGCUUCUCGAGGGACUCCUGGGAGAACUCCCACGGAUUUCCUAGAGAAAUUUCCCUGGAACUUCUUUGGGAAUUCUUGAGAUACUCCUGGAGGUAUACCCAAGAAUCUCCAGAAGAAAUUCCCGAGGAAUUUUCGUAGAACUCCUGGAUGAGUUCCUUUUGCUGAAGAUAUUCCCGAGGAUCCCCCAAAGGAGUUCUCGAGGAACUCCAGAAGAAAUUCUCGCAGAAAUCCUGGAAAAAUUUCCGAGGAACUCUUAGAGGUAUACCCGAGAAUCUCUUGAAGAGAUUUCCGAAUGACUCCUGGAAGAAUCCUCUAGAAACUCGUAGAGAAAAUCCCGAGGAACUACUGGAAAAAUACCCGAUAAAAUUCUGGAGGAAUUCACGAAGAACUUCUGAAGAGAUUCCCGAUGAAUUUCAGGAGGGAUUGAACUCCUGGAGGCAUUCUCGAGGAAAUUCUGGAGGGACUCUGAGGAAUACAUGGAGAAAUUUCCUAGGAACUCCUGGAGGAAUUCCAGAGGAUCUGCUAGAGGAAUUCUCAAUCCUAGUAGCACACAUGUUCUCCAUAGGUAAUUUUAUAUUACCAAAUUUAGUCAUACUAUAGUUAAAUACACUUGUAUAGAACAUGUGUGCUGCUCCGGAAGCAAUUCUUGAAGGUAUUCCCGAGGAACUCCUGAAUAAAUUCUCAGCAAACUCCUGAAGUAAUUCCCGAAAAACUCCUGGGGGAAUUCCCUAAGAAUUCCUAAAGAAAUUCUGGAAAAAAUCCUAAAAGAAUUCCCGAGGAACUCAAGAGGGACUCCUGAAGAAACUUCCGGAAAACUUCUGGAGGAAUUCCCGAGGAACACCUGGAAGAAUUCACGAGAAACUCUUGAAGAAGUUUCUGGAGGAAUUCUCGAUGAAAUCUUGAAGGAGUUCCGGUGGAACUCCGGAAGGGAUUCCGGAAAAAUUCUGGAGAAAUCUUCGAACAAAUCUGCGGGAAACUCUAAACGUAGCUUUGUUUGAAACUCAAACGAAGUUCAGGUGAGAAUUUCGUAAUAAAAAAAAAACAUCGGUAAUAGGGUAUUGGUUCCCUUCUUAAGCGGCGCAGUAUCAUAACGUCCGAGGCCAUAAUGUCCAAGGGCUUUAUGGCGCAUUUUUUCGGGGCAUAACGCCCAAACAUGCGAGUAUGCCACGAAGUCCAAGGAAAGAAGGCACAUAGGAUAUUAUGACGCAUCUAAACUUUUGGACGUUAUUUCUCAAAAAAACGCGACUUAACGACCGGGACAGUAUGGCCUCGGACGUUGUGAUCCGGCGCUUCUCAAGCAUGUGGCUCCCAUUUUCAUCCUACGAAAAACAAAGGAUUGAAGCGCUGUUUGUUUUGUUUCUUAUUUUUGUAUUUUUUGUUAGAAGUGAGUACCCAUGAAAACAAAAAGAACGGAAUCAAUCGGUGCCGUAAUCGCUUGUUUUCGAAUAGGAUGAAUAUGGGAGCGUGAGAUUAAUGAUGGAACACAUACCCUACUUUUAGAAAGAGCCUCUGUUUUUUUAGAUAUUUUAAAAACAAGAGAAUUCUUAGAUAAAUUCCUAGAUGAAACUCAAAAAAUUAAAAAAAUAAUCUUUGAUGGCGUGAACGAAAUGAAAAAAAAAAUAUAUUAGUAUUAGUAAGUAUUUGAUUGUGCUGGAAGUUAUCUUUAAGAAUUAAUGAAAUGACCAACACAUUCCUGAAAGUUUUGUUUUCUAUAAAUAAUUGCUUAUCUAAAAUUAAUUCAGUACUUCAGCAAAUAUUCUAAAAUUCCCCAGGAAUGAUGGUGGUCAUAUCUGAAUAGUAUUUUGAAUAAAACUGCUUCAAAAUUUCCACCAAUAGAAAAAUAAGGAAUUAGCAAGUUCCUCAACAUAAAUUGAAACGUAUUUCAUCUGAAAAUGUUCCAAGAUUUGAACAACAUAAAUAUUAUUUUUCAGCUUUCAAAUGUCUUCAAAAGUCUUCACAUAAUUUGGAAAGUCUUCAAUAUGUCUUCACAAAAAUAAAUGUCUUCACAGAAGUUCAAAUGUCUUCGAUUUGAAGACAUGUCUUCACAUCUGGCAUCCCUGGUGCAUAGCUUGCCUCAUUUUUUCCGAUUCUGACAGUCGCUCGGCUCGUGGAGCAUUGGGCGAUCUUGCGACAUAGAAAUGGGGGUACUUUUUUCGAUUAUGUAAUUUAUUCGUAGAAUAUAAUUCGAUAGGGACAUUAUUUUAUAAUUAAUGUUUCCAGUCUCCUAUUCUACAAUCAUCAACAUUGUUGUCAGUUCGUAAAAUGGCUCAUGAAAGUUACGUGACCUACACGGAACUACAAAUUAACCCAAAUUUAAGUUCUUUUGACGCAAUCCCGCACCUCCGUGAAAUUACUCAAAUUUGAGUCAAACAGCGAUAGUGGUCACUAGGUAGUUCUCGUUUGAUCGCUGCAAAAAUUUUCACCCAGUGGUAAGUUAUUUUCACCCAACGGAGGCCUUAUUUGACGCAAAUUUGGGUUUAGUCAAGAUAACCCAAAUUUGGCUUCUUCCAUACGAAGCCGCACGGAAGUGUCGGUGCUUCACUCUACGUUUUUAACAACAUUCGUGUGGGGAGAGGGAGAAAACAACCGAAUGCUGAGUAAAAACUAAAAGCUGUUUAGCCAAAUUCGAGUUUUUAAAACUAAUUCGCUGGGUUUAAAUGUUUUUCAGUGUAUAGUGGUUUCUGCUUUUAGUGGUGUUGCCUGUACGUACACGUUGCAUUACACGAACACUACCUGAGUUACUGGUUGAAAAUAGUAAACAAAAAUCAGCUGUUCCCGGCAAAAUCAAAUGGGCAUAUUUUCAACCAGUAGAUUUGCAUUAGUGUUUGUGACGCCGCGCUGCGAAACCACUAUACAUUUAAGUUUAAAGAUUUUUAAGACAACAGUAGUGCAAGAUUCUUCAAUAAAUAUCGAAAAAUCAUUGAGCUUUAGAAAUUCUUGUUCAUAUUUCAAAGCGACUUCCUGGAGUAUGUCUAAAUCACUGAUAUCGUUUAUUGAAAUUGUGUCAAAAGAUUUCUGCAAGAAUACUGAGUCAAUUUUGAAACUAAAUAUAAGAUUAGUUUCAGAGUCACUGGGAGAUUCGAUCACCCAAUAAUAUACCUAUUUUUUGUAAACAGUUGUUAUUCACGGUAAAAAGUUUAUCGUUUAUUAAUAACAGAACUUGUUCUUCACUUAUUUUCCCUCCGAAAUCAAUAAAUACCAUACAAAUACCAACCUUUGCUCAAAUACCUCAAAUUGUUAUUGUGCUGUUCUCAUAACAUUUCAUAUGAUCCCGAAUAGCAAAAUACCCUUUGUCAUAAUGUCCAAACAGUAAGUUCAUUUCAUCCGUCAAGGUAACUUUAUCUCAAACAGCUAAUUGUAUGUUGAACAAUAAGGAACAGAUUACCAGACACUAUAAAUGACAGUUUGUGUAAUCCAUGUCAAGCAGUAACACUAUAUCAUACUAUUCAGGCAUUGUCGAAUUAUAUAAAGGUACAAAUUCCUACACAAUGGUAGCAAUAUAUCACCACAGUCUGUCAAAUGGUUAGCUACUCUAUUAGCGCAAUACACUUACAUCUAUACAUCUCACUAUUCAUUACUUUUUCUCAACACUUUGGCAAACAGUUGUACAUAUUUGUAUUGAUGAGAGGCACCAAUGUUUGUUUUUCUUUGCAAAGUGCCAAACUACUAAUGAAAAAAAAAAAAGCAAAAAAAAAACAGAUUUCGCAACCAUGACCGGUAACCGGUUGGCUAAUCCGGCUGAAAAGGGGACAUAUUCCGCCAUAACAGCACUUUCUCGGAAGCGGAGUCGAUCUACAAUGCUGCCUUGACCUGGAGUAGAAUCGAAGGUUUCAGGUCGCAAAAACUUAAUAUCAUCUCGUUCCCUGCAGCCGCUUGAGGAAAACGCCAAACGAUUCCAGCACUUCCAUCCAUAGGGGAAAGCAAAGGCUAGCGAGUUUUGUUGAGAUAUUGCUGGGGCGACCUCCGGAAGAAUGCUGCUGGAGUAUACGGAAACAAUAUAGCAACAGGAUAGGAACUGGCUAUCAAGCUCCGAAGAGGGAUCCAUGAAUGAGGUAAACGGGCGAAGUGCAUAUCAGUACCGCGAUUUGAAAAACUGAUCGGCUCAAGUAGCAGCAGCCAGCCCAUACAUCAGGAACGAUUUAUUCAGCGGAAGUCGGAGGUGUUUUUAAAUUACAUUAGAAUGUGUUUAAUGACUGCAAUCAGGUGAAAUAUCCAUCCAGUACGACACACUCUGACGGAGAGAGAGGGGUUCUAAAUGAUGAGAGGUGGUGGAGUCGGGAAAUUAAAAUAUGCCAUGGAUUUUUUUAGAGUUAUUGUACUUGAAUUAAAAUAUUUCUAGACGUAUUCACUUGUUUCAUUGAUUCUUAUUUAAUUGGCUCCCUUUUUUGUUACUAUUAAUACAAAAGAACAGUACAAAAUAGUGUACAUAACUAAAUAUGUACAAUACGGUUUACAGGUAUUCUACAGUGAAUAACCAUAAAUCACCAGUAUAACAUACAUUAUUCACUUUUCUUCCAAAUUUAUGGUUCAACUGUUCUCUAAACAUAUGCUAUGCAGUGAAUUGUACGAAAAACUGGAUAAUAUAUUGACCGUAUCCUUUACUGUAUUGCGAAAAAUUUGUUCGAGAAAACGAGCGAUUUUUUAUGGUAACCAAUCUUAACCGCCUAUUCUACAUACUGUAAAUUGCCGGCUUACCAUUUCUCAAACUGGCAAAUCUAUACAUAGAAUGGUUAUCUUACUGUUAUCUCGGACAGUCUGAGAAUUGGUUAAAAGACAAUUGCUUAUGGUCAUCCACAGUAUGAGAUACGAUACAUUAACAGUUCGUGAUUAUGCGGGAUAACAUCACAAUAACAAUUGUAAGUAUUAGAUCAGAGGUUGGUAUUGAUAUGGUAUUUGUUAGGUAUUCUCUUCUGCUCGAUUACCUAAUGAACGGUCAGCAAGUGUUUCGGAAUCGGUUUUGAGUGGCCGGAAGAGGCCAAAUGUAAAAGUGAACCAAAUCCAGGCAUGUGACACAUCAAAUCGUGGAAAAUAGCCUUACGUCACUGGUAGUGGUCCGGAAUUGGUUCAGAGAGUCCCGUCGAAAUUGUCAAACCCUGCAUGUGGCACCUUCAAUUUGCAGCGUUUUUGGUUAACCGAUGUAACUGCUCAACAUGUCGCUCGAGUUUUGUUGAAAGGAUAUUUUAAAGCACGAGAAAGGCACCAUCACCGCUAGGUGGAUUAAUUAGGUUUUUUUUUCCUACUUCUCCUCUGCUGGUGUCGUUGCCUGGACGAACCCUAUCUUCAAGAAGUCAAUAGGCGCAACUACGGUGUUGGUGCCACUAACAGCUGCGAUAAUUACAUACCUACGACCGAACGUGCCCGACUUAGCAACUUAGUACGGCACGAACUGCGCUCCGCCGCCGCCCCGAUACUGGCGCGCGGAAGCAUUUCCUAGUUGUUCAUGCUGCUGUCAGAUUGUAGGUGAUGAAUCGCAUCACGCUAUAAUUGCCCACAGUCAGUGGGCUCUACGUCAGCAGAUAUGUAGCUGUUGGUGGCCGUUGAGCUCUGAAUAAGUUAUCUCGAACGAAAACCGGCCGGUGCGAAACAGCAGCUCCAACUUCCACAAUCCAUAAUCAACCAGGUUCUGUUCCAAUGAGUAAAUAUUCAUAUUACGGCUACGGUACGGUAGAGUAGCUUCAGCUACAGCGGUACAAUGGAUUCGAUUGUUUCAACCCCUGAUGUCGGGUCCUUAGUAGGUCAUCGAAAACUGUACGGAGGAGACAUGGGCGCGUGGAGUUCUCCAAAGCUCCUCAACAACAGUUGGAUAACCCAGCACAAGGCUGCAGCAUUUUGAUUGGUGGUAAUUAAUUGCUUAGUUAUUACUGAUAGAUCGCUUAAGUUCAUAAUCUUUUUAAUAUUCCACCCACUUCAAUUGGAUCGGCGCACGAUUGAUCGGGCAGGGACUUGGGAGAUUUGACGUAACUAGCUACGAGUUGGUGCGUAGGAGCCGUCCGUCUGUCGGCUAUUGGUUGGAGCGCCUAGUUGCUAGUCAGGUUUCUUGACAAAAGUUUAAGGUCAACCUUCGGUUGGGGAGCGCAAGCUGGCUGUUAACUUGUUUUUUUUUUGCCAUCCCAGACAGUAAUGUAAAUAUGUAAACUAAACUGGUUAUAGACAGAGUUUUUUUUUUGGCGUCUACGUUUUUUGGUUGGCAGUUUAAAUCAAUACCUUGGUUUGCGUUCGAUUUUGGCGCCAAUCCCCUUUUCAACUUGAAAUACGCUUAGGUUUCGAAGAUUAAGCAUAUAAUCUUUGAGAAAUGGAAAUUUCCUAGAAUAUCGUGGACAUAGCAUACGUUUCAUUCUGCCUGCGUAGAAUUUCUCAAAGAAAACUUUUGUAGAGAAAAUUCUCGAUUGUUAACAGUACUAAUGCUCAUGGACUGGAAAGAGCAUCCAUAAGUCUAGGAGUACAAUUAGAUUGCUUCCAGGAGGAAGUUUGGCCAACCUCUAUGAGAAAGUAUCGACUACUUCCUUGAGAAAGUUUGGACAACUUUCAACAGAAAGUUUGGACAACUUUCAACCGAAAGGGAUUUUGAAUAACUUCCAAAGGUUUUUUUCUCAAAUAUUACGUAACGCUAAGGGGGAGGGAGGGGGUCUACCGCUGUGUUACGCUUCAUACAAAAUUUGAAAAUUGUCCAUACAAAAGUUGUUACGUGGGGGAGGGAGGGUAUCUAAAAUUGACAAUUUUUGCGUAACGUAAUAUUUGAAUGAACCCCAAGGAGAAGCUUCUAGCAGAAAGUUUGAAAAAAAAUCAGGGGAAGUUUGGGCAACUUUCAAGAGCAUGUUCGGAAAACAACUUUCAGAAGAAGAUUUGGACAACUUCCAGAAGGAAGGAUAGAAAAAAAUUCAUAAGGAAGUUUCAUCAAUUUGCAGGAGUAUGUUUGGAUAAUCUCCAGACAACAAUUUUGAACAACUUCCAGGAAGAAGUUUGAACAAUAUUUCAAAAAGAAGUAUGUGCAACUACCAGCAGGUAGCUUGGGCAUCUACUAGGAGGAUGUUUGGACAACUUUGAGGAGGACGCCUGGACAACUUCCACAAUAAGGAAUUUGUACAAUUUCCAGGAGGAUGUUUGGACAAGUUCCAGCAGAAUAUAGUGUGGAUGUACUAGGAAGUUGUUUGUACAUACAACUUUCAGGACGAUGAUUGAACAACUUCCAGAAAGAAGUUUGGACAACUUCUAGGAGAAAGCUUGAAUAACUUUAUGGAGAAAGUUCAGACAACUUCCAGGAUGAAGUCUUGACAACUUCCAGGAGGAAGUUCAGAUAACUUCCAAGAGAAAGCUUGAAAAUCUUCAUAAAGAAAGUUUGGACAACUUCUAGGGUAAUGUUUCCAGGAGGAUUUUUUUUGUCUUUAUUUGAGAGGUUUUCAGCUUCAGAGUUGGCCUCCUUAUCGAUAGAAUGUUUGAACAACUUGAACUACCGAAAGGAUGCCUUCUAGACAGCUUCCAGGAGGAUGAUUGGGAAACUUCAGGGAGAUUUUUGGACAACUUCCAGGAGAAAGCUAGGACAACUUCUUGGAGGCUUUCAGGAGGAAACUUCGAAAACUUACAAGAAGGAGUUUGGACAACUUCCAGGAGGAAGUCUCAACAACUUCCAGAAGGAAGUCUGGACAGCUUCCAGGAGAAAGUCUGGACAACUUCCAAGAUGAAGUUUUUACGACUCAGAAGUUCAGACAACUUCCAGGAGAAAAUUAAAACAACUUUUUGAAGAAAGUUUGGACAACAACGAUACGAAGAUAAAAUUCAAAUAAACUCCAGGAGAAAGUUUAGCAAAUUUUUUAGACGAAGUUUAGACCACUAUCAGGAGGAAGUUUUAACAAUUGUUAAAGAAAAUUCGGACAAUUUCCAGGUGGAAGUAUGGACAAAUUUGUGGAGGAAGCUUGGACAACUUCUUGAAGAAAAUUAGGACAUCUUCCAGAAGGAAGCUUCGAUAACUUUCAAGAAGAAGUUUGGACAAUUUUCAAGAGGAAUUUCGGACAAAUUCCAACAGAAAGUUCGGACAACUUCCUUGAGGAAGUUUUGAAAACUCUCUGGAGGAUGUUAAGGCAACUUCCAGGAGAAGGUUUAAACAACUUUUUGGAAAACUUCCAGAAGGAUGUUUUGACAACUAGUAGAAAGAAUUUUGAAUACCUUUUAGGGUGGAGUUUUGACCACUUCCAGGAGAAAGCUUAAACAACUUAUUGAGAAAGUUUGGACAACUUCCAGGAGGAAGCUUCUACAUUUCAGGAGGAAGUUUUGAAAACUUCCAGAGGAAGUUAGGACGAUGUUCGAGAAGAAGUUCGAGCAACUUCCAAGAUAAAGUUCAAAUAUCUUUAAAGUAAAAGUUUGGAAAAAAUCAAAAAGAAGAAGUUCAGACAACUCCCAAGAGGAAGGUUGGACAACUUCCAUAAGAAUGUUCGGAAAACUUGUUUCGCUGUAUUUCAAUAUCCAUUAGCUCUGGCCCUCACAAGUUCCUGCUUAAUGCUUCCACGGACUACCCGAUGACACAUACUCCAGCUAAGGGUUGUGUGCCUUCCUGGUAGUGCAGCCUGGGCUCUGUUGUCCUUCUGACUUCAGCUAGAUUGUACGUUCCGAGCACCUGUUCACCAAGAAGCUGUGGCUUAAACGGCGUCUGUCCUGGCACCCAGUCGCUGAACAUGAAAUGCUCCUCCACCGGAAGCUAUACUUGAGGCGGUUCCAUUUUGCUACUUGAGGCGUUUCUAGAUGCGUUUCCUUUUCGGUUUUUGAUUUUUUUUUGAAUAAACUACUGAGCAAUAUUUUCAAAAUCUGUUUUCUGUAAAUGCGAGGAAGGAUCAAGGUAUCUUCCGAUUUUUUUCCUGGUGGGAAACAUUACAAAUUAAACAGAAAUCAUUUUUUUUUUAUUUUUCUUUAAAAAUGUUUCCUGUAAAAAUGAAAAACGUUCUUCAUCUGGCAAAAAAAUCAGAAAAUGUUUUAGUCUUCCUUCUCAAUUUGUAUGGAAACCGAUUUUUGAGAUAUUGCUUCGUUGUACACCUCGUCCUUUUUUUACGUCCAUGCUUGGCUAAGCAACAAAAAAUUUUACCGCCAAGACAAUGAGCAAACUCAACAUUUUUAUAUUUUUUAAAACAUCUCCGUGAUUAGGAGAAGUGUAUAAAAAUAUAAAAAUGUUUAUUUUGAUCAUUAUUUUUGUAGUAGAAUUUUAUUUCGCUAAGCCAAUAGUGGACGUACAAUAAGGUUUAGGUGUAUAAUAAAAAAUCAUAAACCAAAAUAUGAGGAAAUGGAUCCAGUUUUGCCUAAAAACCAAAGUUUGUAACAACCAACGUCAUACGCUGCCUGGUACGUUCAGCAAAGUGGACAGGGCAAAGAAUAAAAAAACACAAAAUACGUUGAUAUAACAGAAUAGCAGAAAAAAUCAACGUGGCUUAUCUUGAUUUUUGAAAGCUUUCUGCAAACACUUUCAUUAAGAAUUUCUGACGAAAUCGCUGCAGCAAUCCACAGUGUGCGUUCUUGAAUAAAUAUUUACCAGAUCCCAUUAGACCUGCGCUUCCCAAACUCGGUUUUCACGACGCUCCAACGUGUUGCAGGCUCGCUUUUUCUACUCGUUUAAACGAGCUCAAAAAAGGUUGGUGCGCCAUGGAAACAGAGGAAGCGCGGCAUUAGACAAAAUCCCAGGAGAUACAUGUCAAAGGUUACUAAAAACUGAGUGAAGUAGAUACGAGUUAUUUGAAAAUUUCUGAAGAUUUUUCGAAAACAGCACCUGAAACAACAUGUAGGAUUCUCUGAAGGAAUUCUUAUAAGAUAAUAUGAAACAUUUUUGAUCAAUGUCAGAGAAAAUGGAAGAAUCUUUAGAUAGGAAUCCUCUAGGAAGAAUACCUAGAAAAGCACUGAAGUCAUAGAGAAAUUACUGGGGAAAAUGCCUGAAUAAAUUCUUAGAAGAACCUAACCUCAGCAGUUAGACCACUAGAAACAAUUUGCAUAGAAAUCAUUGGGGGAGGCAUAGUUUCCUUUGGAAUAAGUAGUACACUUUGGGGAAAUUUUCGAAGAACAUUGUUCAAGUUUUCAAGAUUUUCUUUAGUAAUUGAAGUAAAUCUCUGAAGAUAUAUCAGGGCUUUACUGUAAUUUUUUCAGGAAUUUGUUCAGAAGGCUGGGGAUUUUUCUCCAAAGGUUUCACUCGCAAUUCUUGCAGUUUUAUUAAGUUUAUGCAUUUACAAGGAAAUUUCUUGAAAAAAUUACAGAUAAAAAUGUAGUUCCCGAAAAAGUGGGAAUUCAUACACAAGGAUCAGCACUACAUCAGAAGAAAUCAGAAGCAUUGAAGCGCUGUUUAUUUUUUUUUUUAGAAGUUAGCAGGUAGGUUAACCCCAUUAUUUUGCCAAUUUGUCAAUCGGUGAUUGGUUUGUAUUCGAAUAAGAGAGCGAAUGAUUAUUAAUAAUAAUGUGACCUUCUUAAGCCCAAAUAAAAUUAGCAGAAAACUUUUACGAACUUAAUGAAGCAUUCAACAGCAUAUUCUGGUAAAAACCCUAAUCAAUUUGAUGGUGGCUUCCAUAGAGGAGCACCUAGCAAAAUCGAGAGAUUAUUUAUACGAGCUCAUUAAUGAAAAAAUAAAUAAAUUAUGCUGAGACCAGGUGAAACUUCUAUAAAACCUUCUGAAAGAGCUCCCUAAUGAUUAUUUGAAGAUACCGUUGGGAGAUUUCUAAUGAUGUUCCAAACAAAAUUUUGGAAACUGUUUGACAGAUAAAAAUAACCUUCUAAAUGCAUUAAAAGAAUGUCAUUCAGGCAUAUGUAAAACUGGACUAGACGUCAGCGGAAGUGGAUUCGGCUAGUGCAGCUGAUAGUGGCCGUGGAAGAAUACCUGGAGAAAUUACUCGAGCACGAAACCCUACCUGAAUUUCGAAAAAAUAUAAUUUUUGAAUUAGGUUCGACUGUAGAAUGAACUGUUUUCGGGUGGCUAUAAUAACCUCUAUAGGAGUUAUCAGAUAAAUCCCUUCAGUAGUUUAAUACUCCCUAUUUCAAUUUCCGAUUAAAAUUCCUGGAAAUAUCCACGGGGAAAUUCCUGAAAAAAAGUUCCGGAGGAAUUUCUGGAGUAAUUCCUGAACCUCAGCCGAAAUGGAUUGAGAAAUUCUAGCACAAAUUCCAGGUGUAUUCUCAGUAAGAACUCCUUCCGGAAUUCUAGAAGUAAUCACAAGAAAAAUUCCACAAGCAAUACCAAGAGAUAUUCCUGUAGAAAUACCACGAAAAAAUCAUAUAGGAAUCUCAAAAGGGACCCCAGGACAUAUGUAGCGGAGUCCUGGAAAAAUCCUCUUGUGAUUUCCUGGAUAAACUGUAAGUAUUUGCUGAAGAAAUGACAUAAGUCAUCCAUAGAUUAAUUUUGGAAAUUCCUAGAGGGAUCUUUGGAGAAAUUCUUAGAUGAAUCCCAGGUAGAAUUUCUGAAGGAAUCGCUUCUGGGGAAUUAAAAAGCACAUAUCAAUUAAGAGCAGUGAAUCAAAAUCCAUCCAUCGCUCAACAAUAAUGACAGUGUCGCAUCCUGUGUUUGUUGCGACAACCCACCCAAUGCGACAUAAGUUUGUCCCAACUUGAAAAUAAUAGGAUAAACAUCGUACAUCACGAGUUUAGAGAUUUUUUAGCCUUGCACUGCGGUUUUCGAACGGUAACUUUGAGUCGGUAAAUACUGCAUUUCUGCUGAAGAUCUAUCAUCGAACAGUUUUGACUUUGGAUUAGUAAUAAUUGAUUUUUCACGAGUUGAAAAAUACGCAACAAAUUCAGCUUCCGUUUUGUCUGCAACAAAAACUUUCAAGAUCAUUAUCUGUUACCAGUAGGGAUAAAGAGCAAUCGUCCCCAACCAACUUUCAAUAGCAUAUUCUGGUAUAAUAUUCUAAUCUAUUUUGCUAGAUGUUCCUCUAUCUAAGCCACCAUCAAGGCUUAGAUAGAGGAACAUCUAGCAAAAUUUACAGAUUAUUUUCUAUAAGAGCUCAUUUGUGAAAUAGAAAAAAGAAAUGCCACCGUGGUGAAACCAAUUCCAGAUGAAGCUUUUCUAAGGAAUAUUUGGAGUUUUCGUUGAUAGAUUUCCAAUGGUGUUUAAAACCAAAAUUUGGAAACUGUUUGGUAGGCAUCCAUAAUCUUCUAAAUGCAUUAGGAAAAUGUACAAAAAAUGCAUGUUAUUUCGGGCGUAUCGUAUCAUUUCUGAAAGGUGAUAACAGACAUCGACUCUAAUGAUUCUCUCGUGAUGGUCGUGUUAAAGCGCUGUCCACAAAUUACGCAACGCUUUUGAGAGAUGGAGGAAGUACGGCAAAGCGUUACAAUCCAUACAAAUAUAUUAUUAGGAUUUUCAUACAAAAAAGCGUUACGGAGGUGAGAAAGGGCGGUCAAAAAUUCUCGAUUUCAGAGUCACGUAAGAAAUGGAUGCUGCCUAAAUCGUCACACUGGCAACAUGAAGCGAAGCGGACUGCUCCUGAUCAAAGUGCCAGUUUUGUUGAUAACCCUUGAAUAAAUAGUCCAAUUGAGCAAUGUUUUCGUCAAAACUAGUUCAGAAGUGGGUAUUUUUGAGUCCUGGAUUUACAUUAAUUGUUAACAUUGAUUACCAACUUUAGAGAUAUCGCUCACAAAUGCCGGGAGAAACGUAUGGGAUCGUCUAACCCUGGAUAACAGGCGAAAGCCGGUAAACUAAAGCGAUGCGUUGCGUUACUUUACCGGUUAUUGCCGAAACGAAUCGGUUAGGAGACGUGACUCAUCAACAGGUAAAAUUAUUCAACUCAUUUGCAUAGCUAUAGCUAGCCAGCCGCUAAAAAGAGACCUCGAACCGAUGCGGUGAAUAUUUGCCAAAACUGGACGGUUCGAAAUGGUUCGCUAAAAUGAGCCAUGUGUCGCCGUGUCGUGGUGGCUGGCUCUCCACCCCAAACUUAUAAACUUGAUUGAUCCAAAGUGGUUUAUCAAACGGUCGUCCACUUGACGGACGGGGGCGAGCUUUAUUUGUUGAUAUUGCGCGAGGGUCUGUCUCUUCAUUCGCACCGGCACGCCAAUGCAAAUUUCGUAUACCACCUACCUUACCUACUACCAACACUACUGUCGUUCGUCCGCGAAUAGAUUUAACUAGCAACUCUCCUCCUCCAUAUUUGCCUCGCAAAUUGACAGCUCAUUAUUUCGAGCCGCAACACUAUAUGCAACGCGAUAUUUCGCUCCGCCACGGUGACUUUUGUAACUUUUUGUGCCUUCAAACUGUUGGUUUCCAAUGCUAGGGAGGAAUUCCUUAAACGGUUUCUGUGAGAGUAUGUGUAUUAUUUUACUUAAGGAGUGUUGGUUGGGCCCAUACAGAACAACGAUGUAUCGCUAUUUACGCAUAUCGAUUGCACUAAACCGAGCAGCAUAAUUACGCCAGAUUAAGCAUAUGCCAAACGAACCAGAAAACUCACACGCGAUCAAACGCGGGUACCCGAGCAGAAACGAAUAACUGACACAUAACUGCAGUAUACCAAAGUCAGGUAUCAUACCAAGACAAGGUAUUGGUCGGUUAUUCAGGUAUUGAAAAUAACUUACUUUGGUAUUUUGUAGAUAUUGAUAAAAUACCUCAACGAGUUAUUGGCGUGGUGUUGAGGACUGCUUGAGGUAUUAUUCAGUUAUGGAAAAAUCAUCAUUUGUAUGGAAAAAUCGUCGAUUAUUAUUUAGGUAUUGCCAUACCUGAUGUCAUUAUUCUAUUCACGUGUUAUGGGCAGAAUACACACCAGUUAUUAUAUUAGGUAUUUUACCUCUUAUGUAGGGCUUCUUAAUACUUCAUUCUGGUAUUGUAGGUAUUCGGUUUUCCAUACCUGAGUUUGUUAUUCUUCAGCUAUUUUCUCCUGCUUGGGUACGAUUAGUUAUCCGAGUUUAAGAUAAUGAAUACACUAGCUCAAGACAGAUAAAACAAAUCCCUCCUUCUUCUCCUUGGCUAACGUUUCUACUUUGCUUAGGUUAUAAUCUAACUAUUAGCAGAAAACUUUCUUUGCCUCUUAGGCAUAUUCUAAAUUUGCAUGGAAAACUGAGCCAAAAUCCAUUUUUUUACACUUAUUUGAAAUGUGUGAUUUUCCAGAAGUUUACUUGACAUGUUAUGUACAUUUCAUGAUAUACCAUGUAAACUUCCGUUAUAUCAUGUAAUUCAAUAAAAAUCAGAGUUAUUACAUGACAUAUUACAUAUUAUAAAUAUUUACAUCUUCAGUAGUGGAAGUUUACGUGAUUCCAAUUAAGUUUACAUAUCAAAUGUCUGUUGUUUAGAUCUAGAUUUCUGGUAUAUUUACCUGCAUUUCAGAAAACAGGGAAUAUACAUGCCUGACUAAAUCAAAAUACGUGCCAAAUUAGUGAUCAUUCUUUGCUCGGGGUAUAACACCGACUAGACGCAUUCGUUCGACGCAUUCAUCGGUCGACGUUCAAUCAAGUAUCAAACGACGAUGAGGUAGGGUCGAGGGAGCAGCGAGGGAAACUGGGUGUAAACUGUUAGGCAAGGUUGUUGGUAAAUAAAACCAUUUGUCGGAGGAAUGGCGAAAAAAUAGCUGCCAAACAGAACGCACUGCCAGCGGGUACAAAUUUGUUUUAUCGCGCGAGCUAUAAUGCCGUUUAAAAAUGCUGAUAGGUAUCCAUGGCACCGUGCACGAUCGUGUAGCUUUUUGUGGGUUGGAUGCAAUAAAAUUUGACAGAAAAAUGAAUAUUUCAACGGCAGUAUGGUAAAUUUGAAGUGUUUUCUUAAGUCUAUCAUGGCUAAGAAAUUUUGCACUUAAGUAUCAUUCAAAUUAUUGAGUUUACAAAACAAAACGAAAGUCAUGAACAUUUGUCAAUGAUCAAUUCUCAUUCAUUAAUCGUUUCCUGAUUUCAAAAUCAUGCUCUGCCAUGGGCGGGUGAUUGCAUCAUCAAUACCAAAAAAAACAUAACAAAAAUCGUAAUAUUAAUUGUGUAUGGAUAUCUUGAAAUUUAAGAUUUUGGGAUUUGGCUCGCCAUCUUGGAUAUUCUAAUUACCAAUUUUGGACUUCGAACUUUUUCUCCAUACCAAAUAUAACCACAUUGCAUGAUUUCAAAGCCUUAAACUCCGUAAAAAAGCCGCCUCAUUCGUUGGCCACCAUCUUGGAUUUUAGGUCGUCAUCUUAAAAUUUUUGGCUAACAUCGUGGAUUUCUGGUUUCCAAUGUUGUUUGCAUAAAAGUGGUAAAAUAUUUGAUGUGUCGGGUGAUAGGGUAUGGUGCAGUAUUGACCAAUUCAUCGGUGCUAGUCCGGAUCACUAAAAUGGCCAUAACUCCGGAACGCCUUGACCGAUUCGGACCAUUUUCAAUAGCAAAAAAUGCGGUGAAAUUCCGUUUCAAUUCGUGCUAUAAUCCGUGUUGGCGCGAGUUUCUUCUGGAUCAAUGAAACACAUAUCGAGAGCAGCGUUUGAUAACGGCAGCUUCAAUGCUAUAUUAAUAGAAAUUCAGUUAAAUAAUUUACAUUGAUUUUACUUAAAAUUAACUUAGUUUCUUAAUCACUAACGAACUCUUUCACUCGACACACAACUUAACACUAAAUCUACUUACGAUUCUAAUGCAUUCAAUUAAUUCCUAUUGGAUAGAACAGUUGCCAGUUUCACCAAAAUACAUUGGAAGCCGUCGCAACAAUCCGUAAUCGGCACUCCCCAUCGGCCUUAAAAGUGAGUGACCUUUUUUGUACACAGACAUACAUACACACAUAUACACAUAACAGACAUCAUCUCAAUUCGUCGAACUGAGUAGAUUGGUAUGUGUGGCACGACUCUCUGAGUUUUUUUUUAUCGAAAAUUCAUUUUUUGAGUGAGCAUUUAACCUUUCAGUACAUUUUGGUGUACGAGAAAAGCAAAAAAGGGCAUUCAUAUCGAACGUAUGGAACCCUGUCUCAUCCUAAUGUUGGACGAUUCUUGUAAAUUGUGGAAUUGUUCACUCCGGCAGUUAAAAGAAUAAAUUAUUUUUACAAAUUUAUCAGAUUUUCAGUUAAAAGUUUAAUGGGAGUUUAGAUGCGUUUCGGACAGAGGUUCCAUAAGGCUUCUACGCCCCUGAAACCCUUUUAAAACCUCUGGAACAUUCCUGAAUUCCCCUGGAACAUGAUGGUAACACCCUGAAACCCGGUGGAAUGACCCUGAAAUAACCAGAAACACCACUGUAACUCUCUGGAACGCCCAUGAAACCCCUUUAAAACCCCUGAAAUGCUUCGUAAACCCCCUGAAACACCCUGAAACGUCCAAGAAUUCCCAAAACAAAAAACUUGGAAGGCCCUCGAAACACCCUGAAGCCCCCUGGAGUACUUUCGAUACCUCCUAGAAAACAUUUGAAAACCCUUGAAAUGUUUAUAGAAACCCACAGUAACACCCUGUAAUGUCCCUGAAACUCUUGGAACGACCCUGGAACCCCCUGGGACCACCUGAAACCUGUCAGAAAAAAGUCACAUUUGAUGCAUUGCUCAGCCAACUUAUUUCUUGCAGAUAAAACAGAGAGCGAGUGGCUACUGGUUUGUAGAAGAUGGUAUACGAAACCAAAGCAUAUAGCAGAAACAAGAGUAAUAGUCACCACCAAGUCUUAUUGUUGCUGUGGGUGAUCAACAGCGACAGCUGGUGAUGUAGACGAUAAAUAGAAAUGCUAGAACAAGGAUGCUGGAAAUGUUCAAUGAAUCGAGAUUCCUUCGCUUAGCGAACUAGCUUCACUUGAAUAAGCACACGGCAGAAAGCAAAUCUGCCUCAUAAUAUGCUCACUUACCGCUGCAGAAGCAGAGAACAUAAACGUCGAGGGAAUUGGGAGAGCAGAGAAUAAGAACGAGCGAUACGCUGAGCUGGCUUUCUGUUUGGCUUGAUGCAUCGAACGCAAGUGAAAAUCGUGUGUCGACUACACUCACUGCUCCUAGAUACAGCGACAGUAACUACGUAAACGAACUAGUGCUCCACAUGGCCACAAAAGUCACACACAGUUCUAUGGGAUAGACUUCAUUUCCCGGUACCGAGUACCAAAUCUUAGGAAAAUUUCCACGGCUACGAAGUGCAGUUCAAGAUAUUUUUGCACAGUUGGAGACGGUACAGAACCUCGUGAAUCUACUGUAUAUUGUGUGGACGCACCCGCAAUGAGACGACGAACGUCGCACAUGCCCCAGCAUACAAACAGCCGGAUCACAACAUCGAUGAACCAAGUACACACAUAGGCAAUCGAUCAACAUAGCUAGCUUGACCUAUUGCUGACAUUGUGAAGUCCGUAGAACUAAGAGAUCCUACAGUAGUCAGCAUAAUGAAUAUUCUCAACCAACACCCACGUAGAAUCCAGCCAACAAAAUUUGAGUGUGCUGCAGGAGUAAAACCAGAUGUUCAUCAUAAAUGAAAGGAAGUUCUGCCUUUUGGAAAUUAGCGACGACACAGUUUGUGGCCAAUCUAUGAAAGAACCCUAGCGCAGCGACGACGAUAGGAUUUGGUUGGCAGACGAAGGGUGACAGUGUAUUGGAGUAGGAGAUGUGACUUCAGUCGUGGUAAUCGCUAGGGAUAUACGGAAGCCGUGAGCAUUUCCGGUAUACCAGAAAUUGAGCAAUAACAAGAGGACCGGAUUUCGAGAAUAUUUUUUUAAAUAAAAAAAAUUACGACGAUCCACUGGUGAACAUGCCUAUCACGUGCCUUUCGAUUCUGUACAAGGUAUUGUCGUCAGUAAUAGCGAGGAGAAUACAAGACCGCUGCGAUGCUUAUAACAUGAGGACCGAAAAACAAAAGGGAUGUUACGAAAAGACGCAAGGCGAUAAAUAUCAGGUUAUCAUAAAUACAGUCUUUGAAGGUCCAGCCACCUAUGAGCAGAAAAACCUUAAGCAUGGCGUACAUUUCCUACAAAAAAUACACUCGUACCUUCUCAAGGUACUGCAGUUGUAGACGUAAACGUCACCUGGCUAAUGUAGCAUCAGCAUGCGAUGGGGAUCUGGAGUACAUCUUUACAAAUUACCAACGGAACAGUCGUGUUGAGAUCCAGAAUAUUCAGCAUCAGGUGGAGGAUAUUUCAAGGCGAUUCCUUCCGUCCGCUAUGGCUCUGCCUUGCCAAGAAUCUCCGCAGAAGAGCACUCAACUAAUCUGCCCAUAUUCGCAUAGUCGAUGUAACCACCAUUGCCAAUGCCAGCAUGCACAAGCUAAUGUCUAACACAUGCACAUGUUUCUGAUCAGUUUUAUUAAGUAGAGUACAAGAUUCAACCGUUAGUUAGAUGUCAACGUGGAAAAAAUGUUGAACUUCGAAUUAUUCAUUGUUAAAAUUGCAAAUGUGUGUUGAAAACUACAGUGGCGCUUACGUCAACUAUGCGAAUAUGGGCAGUAAUGUAACUAUGGCUACUAAUUGAAUCGUCUACUAGGGAGAUAUGGCCAUAAUAAAAAAUCUCCUUACUACGAUUUAACUGCAUUCAAAUCUACGUUGACAGAAAAAUUCAUGGCUACUAUGAUCAAAUGAUAUAUAACCUUCUCUAAGCGAAUUUGCGCAACAGUCCUGAAUGUUUUAAAUACCAAAUUUGUUCUAAAAAACGUUUCCACUGCAUUUUUAUAAGAUUUCCUUAUUUAGUUCAAAUCCCAUUCAUUGAAUAAAAUAUUAGGAUUUAUCGGGGUUUAAUACGCUCUCACAGAGCCAACAGAGUUCUUCUGUAAAGCAAUUUGAAAUUUUAUAUGAAGAAAGUCAACACAAUGAACUUUUACUAAGAUAAGUCGAAAGUUGGUUUAAUUUAUAUUUCAUCAUAGUAGCCAUGGAUUUUUCUGUCAAAGUAGAUUUGAUUGCAAUUAAAUCGUAGUAAGGAGAUUUUUUAUUAUUGCCAUAUCUCCUCAGUAGACGAUCGUGGACGGACAAACUGACCCUUAUUUAAAAACUCUAUAGCUGUACUUUCUGAUAAGGGUAUCCUCAGCUGCACCUUUUGCGCCCCUAAGACAGAUAUUUAUCCCUGAAAGUGGAUGAAAAAAAUCAUAAAUUCAUCUAUAACUCGUCUCACUUAAUUCUUACAGCUUUGAUGUCUUCGGCAAAGUUGCGUAUUUUAUUGAUUUAUACAACUUUGCAGAACAUUGUAUGGGUCUAAAAAUUCAACAAAUGUAUGUUUUACUUAUAAAACGUGUAUUUGGGGUUAACUUUCAAGCACAGGCCACUAUCUCCAUUGGAGUAAAAAUUACCAAAUUGACGUCUUCAGGAAAGUUGUUUGGAAUCAAAAAUGCUACAACUUUGCCGAAGACGUCAACCCUCUAUCUCAACAAUUUAAAAAAAAUAAUUUUGUAUCUCACUUUUAGGGGGAUUGAUCCGAAAACUCUAAUUGUCAAAAGAUGGCGCUGGUUAUUCACGUCAACUUUGCCGAAGACACUAUUGCUCUAUCUCCUCAAUCCUUCGAGCUAUUAAUUAAGAGCGUGAAAAUGGGAAAAUAAACCAUUGUGGGAUGGACCCCUUUACAGCUCUAGCAAAUCGAUCAGGCGGUGUCAAGCGCGUGGCUGAUGCGGGGUGACCUUUUCUUGGGCACAUAAGGUUUCAGGGCAGCCAUCCAGGUUCAAAUAAUUGUGACGAAGAACUAUCGGCAGUGCAACCUGCAUGAUGACGCGAAAGACCUCUGAAGGAAGUGCAAUUUGAAACGAAACCUCAUAAACAAAAAUUUGCAAACUCACGAUGAUGAAAUCGAUGUGCCAACUUAUUCUAGAUUCUGCACUACUGUUAGAAUGGUCAAUUGAUUCCGCCUAAAAAUAGCCCGAACGCAUCCAUUGCAUACCAAAUAAAAGCGAACCCGUCCACACUCUACACAGUAAUCCGAUAUCGAACUCUUUAAAAACCUUGAGCUCUCUGGUGUUGUGAUUCCUCCUACCCUCGCACUCGGUUCGCAUAUUUUAAACCAGCCGCGUACACCCUCAUUGAAAUUCUAAUCAUAAACCUUGAAGUUUCCUAGCUUUGAUGGCUCCAGCAGCUUGAAGAAGCGGGAAAAAAGUAAGACGAAGUAAAGCAAAAAAAAAACUCCGUAAAAAAAUCGAAUCAAAAAUUCGCCUCUCGCAUUCGGGCAUCUCCUGAAGCAGUUGGUUGGAUGACAGCAACAUCGAAUGGACGAUAAAAUUCUGCGAGCGUGCGAGGAGGAGCAAGAGACUGCCGAGUUGACCUCCAGCAGCAUAAAUUGCCAAAUAUAUUUACAGUGAACACAACCCCAUCAGAAGCGAAAAAAAACGCUUGAUCUCCAACGCGAAACGGCCUCGAACUAAAAUUUAGUCCGAAACGGAGUUGAGAGUAGUGGAAGUCGAAUAAAAUGCACCAUUGGUUUUAUCUGAUCUAAAAUGGAGUGGGUUUAAGCUUAAGUAAAAACAACUCAUGUUUAAAUAUUGUUCGAAGUUUCGAGUACGCUUAAGGUGAAGCAUCCCUAAGUAUAAUCAUGGCUGCUACAGUAGCACGAACAUUGACAAAGCCAAAAUAUUGUCUUAUUACAGUUAUUUGUCAUAGCAACUCCAAAAGUAAAGAACGAAGAUAUUAAAGUAUUUUAAAGCAAGAACUAGGUCCUCCCGCUUCGAAGUGCAUUUUACACAGAUAAACCCUUCAGGAAAAAAAACUUUAUCGAGUAAAGUGGAGGGUUCUUUUCCUCUUCUUGGACUUUUAUUUUGAUCCACCAACACAUUUGAAUUCGGCAAACAUGCCCUCAUCAAUUUGUUGUUGUUUUGAUUUAGUUUUUAUUUUGGCUUUAUUUUAUCGCUGUUGCGUUGCGUUCCAACAACCAGAAGCGGAUCAAAAUAAAUGCCCCCAAAGAGAACACGUGCGAUUGUUAUUCAACAACGCAUCAAGAAAGAAUGGAGUAUUAAUAGCGCGCUGUUAAAAAAAUAGCGCAGCAUUUUCAUUCACUAUGCCGUGUUUGUUUACCGAUUUUUGCAAGAAGUGGUGUCCGGUCGGAAAUAUGAAUCACUGCUAAAUCGCUCUUAACUGUGUAUGACGGUAUCAAUAACCGUUAUGUGUCCGACAAACUUUUUGCUUUUUUCUACACCGUUUAAAAAGGCGAUGAGUAUCCGGGUCCCUUUCGGCCACAUAAGGAUUAAAUAGCUAUCGAUGGUAUUUUCAAUAAUUUAGUAGAAAAGAAAAUAAAUAUGGUGAAGCACAAAUACAUGUACAGAACAUUCGUCAUUUGUAAUAUUACAGAUUGUGCUAACAAUGUAUCGAUUUGAUCGAUUUAAUUAUGAAAUGAAAUCCAUUUGCUCCGGUUGGAAUCGAACCCACGACUCGCAAUUCGCUAGAUGGGCGCUUCUGUCAUCCAAGCUACGGAGCCACUUGACCAUCUCCCUCAUUUGAAGGCACAGAACUGAACUCGAUUACACUAAUGCACAUUGUUUGUUCUUUUUCACAAUCCAAAUCUCCUUCGAAUGGAAUUAGAUGAACAUCUACACGUCUCUGAGGUGUGCAAUGUGCAUGAAUGUCAUAGCAUGAAAACGGAUCAUUUUUGAAAAUUGUCGUGAGUCAAGGUACAACGAAAAGGCUCUCACCACUCAUGAAUUAAGACACAGCUGAAGACAGAGCACAGAGGAUCAUCUGAAAAAUAAAACUGUAGAAAUCUGUAUACUGUUUCGUGGUGGCUUGUCAGUCUUGACAAAAAUAAAACACUAUUUAUGUUAAAGCAAUGGUGAUCGUUUGCGAAGUAGGUUCUAAAUUCCGGAGUGCUAAUUUUCGGAACGAGUUUCCCCCGAUAGGGCAUCCAAUUUGGCUGCGAUUGUGCGGGAAAAUUCGAACCAAAUCGACAGUUACAGGUUCUACCGAACCACACUGGACGAGAACACUGUAACUAUUGAGUUCCUGAAGAAAAUCCCAAACGGACCGAAACGUCGGACAAAAUAACAUAAAUAGUGUUUUAUUUUUGUCAAGACUGACAAGCCACCACGAAACAGUUUCGUAAAACAGUCGAACACACCAACGAAAUCUGUAUACUGCCCAAGUAACCAAUGAGCAUUUGAAUAAGCCGUAUUUCUGUUUUAUAUCUGCAUUAGAGCUGCUUACUGCCGUAUGAUAGCAGUUUGACUGCUAAACUGCCCUAUAUUAGCAAUUGAAGUGCUUCUUAAAAUCUGACAGCCGUUGUGUAGCAUUUCAGAUGCACGGUAUGUUUUGGUCAACAAGCAUCACAACUGCUCAUUAGUGCCAUAAAACUGCUAAGUGGGAUGAGGGAUGCUAAACCCACAGCACAUUACCACUUCUUCAAUUUACGUGCCCCGGCUGUAGAUACCAUUAUCAUUCGCUUGUCCUGUCAUUUAUAGAGUAGCAACUAAAAAAACAUGCUUUGGCAAAUAAAUUCCAUGGAUUUCGCUACUUUCCAAUGCUCGAUUUAAUUAUCAGCACAUCUGACAUCAGCACAUCAUCGAUUUAAUUAUCAGCAUAUCUGACAAACCAACUGCCGGUGUAAUAUUCAAGCUUUAAAUUGAUCAAAAAACGAACGCACAUUAUUUAAUCAUCUAUAGCUUACAUCGUAGCGCGAUUCAGCACCAUCGUCAACCCAAGGAUCGAGGGAUCAAAUCCCAAUUUCGCCGAUAUCAGCAAAAACCAACAACAACAUUUCAAAACGUGACCCCAAGCCUCAAAAGUUGCACAGGAGAAUGAGGAUAAAAAUAGAAGAGAAAGGGCCGUAAAAUGGGGAGGGGUAAUAUUUUAUUUUUAUUUUUGACAAUCUGGGGGAUAGGAAAUUUAAGCAUUUAAUCAGCCGUAUAUUGGGCCAAAAUCUGCAUUUAAGUAGCACUUAUGGCGUAUAUAGGGCAAAUUAGCAUUUAAUGGCCUGCUGUAAAGGCGCAUAUAGUGCCGAAUCAAUACCAUUUGAACUGCUUAUUGGUUACCUGGGUGGACAUAUGCCUCGAGGAAACCCUUAAGAAAUCUUCGGAGAUAUCUCUUUAUAACAUUCUGAAGAAAAUCUUCGAGUAAUAUUUGCAAGAUCUAUUGAAGAAACCUAUGAAUACUAAUGCUAAACUUCUUGGAAGAACUAAGAGGAAUAUAACUAUCAUUGUUCAUUAAAAACUCAUUGAAAUCCCUGCCAAUCUCCAUAAAAAUAUAAAUGCUUUCUACUUAGAGUGAUACCAUUUUCAAAAAAGGAUUUAUAGUUUUGAGAAAGAAAACUGAUUUUAAAAACAAACAUUUUGGAAUUUCAGUUCAACCUUGCACCAGACUCUCAAAGACGGACAUUUUAAAACACCUUAAAAGAAUUCUGGGAGAAAUUCCUUAAAAUAUCUGAAGGAACUCAUCUUCAGAGAAUUAGCUAAAGAAAUUGGUAGAAUUAUUCCAGAAAAAAAAAUAGUUGAAUUCCUGGAACAAUAUAUAUACCUGGGAGAAAUUCUGAAAUUCUGAAAGAAUUACGAGGGGAUUUCUAUUCCCUUCAGAGGACUACUCAAUGAAAGUAAUCAUAACAUAAUACAAUAAGAAAAUCUAGUAGAAUAUUCUGGAUUUUUUUUUCUGUUCGGAUGAGCCACUGCGACCAGUAUUUAGAUCUUUUGUGGCAAUACCCGUAUCCUUAGUAUUUAGUGCAUGUCGUACUACUCCAUUGUCAUUGAGAGGCAAUGGAGCAUCGAUUUCUGUACAGAUCUUGUUUUGUUACCUCAGAGGUUCGAGAAAUCGAAUGUGAUGAAAAAGUACCGUUUUCACAGGGAAAUAAAUCCCAGCGAAAUUGCGCCCUUAAUCACACAUAAUCGAUUCUAUUUCUGAGAUAAACAAAACGGUAGAACUGAUAUUUGUUCAUGCAUCGGAACUCUGGCCCCAUCCGUGUCUUGCUUCUAGUUUAGUCCCAGGACAACAUUGAAAAAUCCGGGGCUUUAGGCUAGUUGCAAAACGUUGUCAAAUUAGAGAAUGUGUUCGGUAAUAAGAAUUCACGUGAGUCCUUGUAUCACCAGUAUUUAUCAGUCCUUAGUAGGUUAUUACGCAAUUAGAUACGCAAAGCAUGUUUGUUUUCCUUACAUCAAGUGUAGUCUCGGCGAGGACAAACCGAGUCUUUAACUAUCCGUAAGGCCAAAUAAAUGCAAUUUUAGAAACUGUAACUAGUAACAAGGGCUUUGUACCAUGAAUCCUUAUUACCAAAACGCAUUACUCUAGCUUAACAAACGAUGUCACCAGGGUUCAGUUUGGGAGAUCUACCCACGUUACGGGCUCCGUUAAAGAUCGAGCAUGUUUUAAACCCCCUCAACCAUUCAUCCCUCAGCACGGGUCGCCUGACAUCUUGGAUUGGGGUUCCCUGUUUGGUGGACUUUUACCCCCGGAACAGGGGGUCCGUAGUGCUAUUCUAAGCCGGCAACUACACGGGCAAACAUUCUGGAUAAAUUAUUAGACGAAUCUUUUGAGAAUCUUUGGAUGAACCUUUACUACUUUCGAAUGAAUUCUUCGAGGAACCUAAGCAGGCAUUCCUGGAGGACUAUCUGAGGGAAUUGUGGUGUAAAUCUCUGAAAAAAUUUCUGGAGGAGUCAUAUUAUAAAUCUGUGGAGGAAUUCUCUGAUAAAUUUUAGGGGGAAUCUCAGCAACAAUUCUCAAAAAAAAUGUUUAAAAUAAUUGCUGAAGACAUCUCCAGAAGAUUUUUUGAUGGAAUUAUUAGACCAAUACCUGGAGAUUUAUGAGGGAAUUUCUGAAGAAGUUGUUGAAGGAAUCACCGGAGGAAUUUCUCAGGAAAGAAAUGACAGAACCACUGGAGCAAUUCCUGGAGAAAUCUCUGUAAGAUUUCGGAGAAAAACACGGGAGAGAUUCCAGCAGGAAUCUUUGGAAGAAUUCAAAAAGUAAACUGUGGAGGAAAUCCUGUACUAUUACCUAGAGAAAUUGCAGGAUGAAUUCAGGUAAAAUACGGAAGAAAUAAUCUUCAGACUCAUGACUGAAAAAAAUAUGAUGGCGAGGUAUCUCCAGAGGAAUAUCAGGAGGGAUUUCGGUAGUAGUUCUUGAUCUCUUGAGAAAUUCCUAGAAGAGUUCCUAAAAGAAACAAUCCCAAAAAAAUGGUAAAGGAAUUCCGGGGGAAAUUCUUGAAAGAAACCAUUGACAAAAAUCUUGAGCAAGUUUCUAAAGAAAUUGCUGGAAAACCCUUUCCCUUCUGCUCCAGGAACGUCAAGAACGAUCUCCAGGAGCAAUCUGUACUGUACUACGGGAGAAAUCCUUGGAGGGAUUAACGAAGGCAUCUAUGGAUAAAUUUCUAAAAAAUAAAAAAAAACGUCCACGGCCAUAAUGUCCCGAUUAUUUUUUAAUGCAAAAGAACGUGCAAAUGAAUGUGACGCAUCCAAAUCUUAUGUGCUUUCUUUCCUAGGAGUCAGUGACGCAUCUGCAUGUUUGGAUGCUAUCCCAGACAAAAAUGCGCCGCAGACCUGACAGAUUAAGGCUUCGGACGUUAUGGCACAGCGCUGAAUUUUUGGAACAAUGACGAGUUAUAUAUGACAGUACCCCAUGACGAAUUCCUGAAAGAAUCUAAGAAUAAAUUCGUGGAAAAUAUUCGUAAAAGUUUUUAGAGGAAUACUUUAAGAAUUUUCUGCUGGAAAACCUGGAGAUAUAUCUAGAUAACUUCCAGGAAAAGUCAUAUAGUUAUAUCUUUCAUGGUCCCUUCAGUGAGACAGGAAAAAUGCUCCUUUCUCAAUUGUGGUAGUGAUUUUCAUGGGAAGGAUCGAAUCCGUGUCGAAAUUCUAAUGUCAAGCGCGGAAAAAGCUUGAACUACUCUAAAGUAACCAAUAAUUUCACUUCCCAAAAUACACUUUCAAGUUCUACAAUAUUCAGAUAAAGUUCCGAAAGGAACUUUCUGGCUGCUCAGGAGGUUUACACUGAACUCGAACGGAUUCUUUGUGCAAUCUCUACAGCAACUCUGCCAGUUUUUUUUGUGGGUAUUGAAUUUCUGGAGGAAUUUCAAGAAUUUCUGCAAUUCCUUAAAUAAUCUGUAGGAGAGUUCCUGGGAUACAUCAAGUAUGAAUCACUAGAAGAAUUACGGAAGGAAUUCACGAAGAACUCAUAAGAAAGUAUUUUUUGAGACAUCUCUAGAAGAUGUCAUUCCUGGAUAAAACUUUAAUAGCAUGUUGCGUUGCGCUGCGUAGUAACGGAGUAAUUCGUAGAUUGCAUACUGAAAGUUGUCAUGUUUAAGCUUUAAUACUCCUAUUCUAAUUGCUUAUGGAAUGCUAUUUGGGAAGGAACGGCUUUCCAAGGGGCUGUCCAUAAACCACGUGGUCAUUUUUUGGGAGUUUCCUGCCGAUUUGGUAGGUAGUCAAUUUGUGUUUUGUGUAUUGUGUAAUGUUUUGUGUGUGUUAGGUAAAAAUUUAAACAGCCACGUGUACCCAUUGCCCUGAUCCUUGUUAAGUAGUUUUUUAUUGUUUUGUUUGUAAAUUUCUAAACUUUCUGCAACAUCAAGUUUCCAUGGGUUUGUAAUGUGUCGUAAGAGUUUAAUAUUUGAAGUAUUCAUAAAAUGUCCUUCAUUGAAAAUAUGUUCAGCAACUUUAGAUUUAAAAUGAUGAAUGAGUCCCUUGUCUGUGUCUUUGUGUGCUUUUGAUACUUCCGUUAUGUGUUCUUUGAAUCGUGUGUUGAGUGUGCGUUUUGUUUGUCCUAUGUAUAUUUUGUCACAGUGAUUACAUGUUACUUUGUAAACACCAGAUUUUGUUAAGUUGUCCAACGGGUCUUUCGUAGAUCCUAAGAGAGUUUGAAGUUGGUUAGCUUUGCUUGUGAAAACUAAUUCAAAACCAAACUUUCUGAGAAUUGGUCGGAGUUUUUUUGGUGUCAUUGUUGUAGUUCACAGUUAUCCGUUUAAGUGUAGGUUCUGUCCGUGUCAGUGUAGUCAAAGAACGUCUGUAUUGUUGUUGUGUCUUUUUGUUGAUGAUCUGUUGUAUUGUUUGUUUUGUGUAACCGUUCAACUGUGCUGUUUCGAAAAUGUAAUUAAGUUCUUUCGUUUUUCCUGUUUCACUAAGUGGAAGUGUCUGCAUUCGGUGUAUCAUGUGAUUGAAGGAUGCAAUUUUGUGUUGAUGUGAGUGAUUUGAUGAAUUUAGUAUAGUGCGUUGAGUGUGUGUCGGUUUUCUGUAAAUUUCGAAGGAAAGUGUUGAUUCUUGUUUUACGAUGAGUAUGUCCAAAAAUGGUAGUUGGUUGUUCUGUUCAAUUUCACAAGUGAAUUCGAUGUUUUUGUGUGCAUUAUUGAUAUUGUUCAAGAUUUCAGGUAAAAGAUGUUUCUUAACAAUGCUAAACACGUCGUCAACGUAUCUCCACCAGACUUCAGGAAGCUGUUUGUUGUUUUCUAAGCGUUUUUCCAAAUUUGCCAACUUUCAUUCCAACUUCCAUUCCAUUGCCAACAUCCAACUUCCAUUGCCGGUCACGCCCAUCUUCUCCGUUGCGAGGAAAGGAAAGGAUGUGAUGAUAUGACACCUACUUGCAUAGGUGUCAAGGAGUUGGAUAUUUGGAAUGGGUUGAUUUGGGAAUCCCUAUAAGCGAGUGAUGCGACAAGAUUCAGAGUGUGUAAGUGUAGAUCAUGUAAAUGUGUUGAUGAGAGUGUAAGUGUUUAGUAUAUUGGACACAAACGUUGGGAGUGACGUAGCUAAGAGAUUUUGUCACUCCAUGCGCCUCGUUGCUUCAGGGAUGGGGCACAGGCAUUUUCACUGUAUCCUGGCUAACAAGCCUAGACUUAAGCGCCAUUGGUCGCUUUCUGAAACGAAAAGAAACUCGUUUUGUGGAUGGGAAGGGAUAGUAGGGUAAGGAUGAUAUCUAUUUAUCGAGGUGCCAGCGACUCACCGACGCCCUCAAAAUAGAAAGGAGUUGGGAGUUUGAUACAGGAAUGAUCUGGAAUUAAGUAUGAGUUAUGCCACUGGAUUAUCAUAAAUUUAUAUAUGUAGUUUGAUAUAUUAAAAUAAAGUCUCUUUAAAUGAUUGCAUUUAUGUAUAUAUCACAGUAUGGUAACAAAGCGCUUACUGAAUGAAGCAGAACAAUUCGCAAUAGGCAAGUUAGCGUCACAUACAGACCGCGCCCUCCUAAGCCACUUUACAACACAUUCACACACUCACACUGGCUACUUAUCUGAUUUCUAGCGCGGAAUGAGGCUGCUCCAGGGGGAACAAGAUGACGAUAAAAAGCAUCCAUGGAUCCAAUGAUAGGUAAUCGCUCACCGUGUGAACGUCGGUGUCAGCUGCUCGCAGGAGGAUCGGGUCCGCACAGCUCCUAGACCCCAUACAGAUAAUUCAGACGCCUAUUUUUUAGCUGCCACAAGUCGGCAACAGCACUUUGCACACGCGCGCGGAUGAAAGCUACAAUCGAAAGUUCAUCGAGCACACAAUGCACCCAAGCCAAAAAUAUUACAGAUACAACUUUUCUACUGGCCUGAUCAAGCACCCACGGUUUACUCGCGGAACACGGUUUACACUGGCCAUUUUCUAUAACGCAAGCACACACAAAAACUUGAUUCCAAUUUUCCUAAAUUAAAAAAAAAAACAAAACCAGCACAAAAGAAACGUGACCUGGAUAAAACUUUAAUAGCAUGUCUAGAUAAAUUGGUGGAAACAUCUCCAGAGAUAUCUUUAUGAAUGAGUUCUACAAAUAUUAAAGGAGUUUCUGAAAAAUCUCUGAAGGAAUAACUCAACAAAUCUGUGAGAGGAACUCCUGGACAAAUCUUUGGAAAAAUUCCUGGAGCAAUCUCUUAAAAACUCUUGGAGUUACAUAUCUCUGGAAAAUUGCCAGAAACGGAUCAAUAUUUGGAAAAAAAAAUCUUGAAGAAAUUUCGGGAGAAACGCCUGGAGAAAUAAUUGGCAGACAAUUAAACGUUCCAUAAUAAAUACAAAAUUUUCCAUAAAUAAUUCAAAAAGUCCCAGUGAAGAAACAGGGCUGUAAGCAGUAAUAAAUAACAAAAGUUACAUAAACAAAUAAAAUAAUGCAUAAAUAAUUCAAAAGUUUCAAUAAAUAAUUGAUUUUUGAGCAAUUAAAAACGUCAAAAAUGCAAUGAAUAAAUCAACUGUUGCAAUAAAAAAAGCCAUUUUUCCCUCCAAAUAACUUCGAAUUUUCCAUAAAUAAAUCUGAUUUUUCCAUAAUAAAUUAGAAAAUUCACAAUAAAAAAAUAUCGAAUAAGCAAUAAAAAAUUCAAAAAAUGUAAUAAAAAAUGACGAAAUUACCCAUGAAAAACAAAUGCAGGAAAUUAUGAGACAGUGAAAUGCUGAAUCGCACUUAUAUGACUGAAACGACUGAAAAGCUUGCGUAACUAUGAUUGCAAUUUAUCGAGCAAUUGCUUGCUGUCCGAACUCGCUAUCGCUCGUCGGACCUAAAAAAGGAAUAACAUCUAUGUUUGCAUUACUCCGGGCAAAUUCUUGGAUCUGUGGUUUGCCUAGAACUGAAUCGAUGCAGUUACGGUGCAUCGGAUAUCGGAAACUUCGGCGGCCUUCUGCCGCCUCAGUUCCUCAAUCCUCUAUGCGGCUUCGCCGCAUGGUCUACUUGAAUUUUUGGCUCAAAAUGCAUUUACGUUUAUUGCUCAUUUUUUGACAUUUAUUAAUUAUUUAUUUUUUCGUUUAUUGCACUUUUUGAACUAUUUAUUGCUUUAUCGAUAUUUUUUUAUUGUGAAUUUUCUAAUUUAUUAUGGAAAAAUCGGAUUUAUUUAUGGAAAAUUCGAAGUUAUUUGGUGGGAAAAAUGGCUUUUUUUAUUGCAACAGUUGAAUUAUUCAUUGCAUUUUUGACGUUUUUAAUUGCCCAAAAAUCAAUUAUUUAUGGAAACUUUUGAUUUAUUUAUGCAUUUUUUUAUUUGUUUAUGGAAAUUUUGUUAUUUAUCACUGCUUGCACCCCUGUUUCUUCACUGGAACUAUUCAUUAAGAAUGAUGACUUUCUUAUGAGUCGUUUAUAUUUUAGCCAGAAAUAAUUAGAGAAACCAUUGAUUAUUCUCUGGAAGAUUUUUUUUAUCACCUGGACGAAUGAUGCUCUGGAACAAUCCAUAAAAAAAACCUUCGGAAUAAUGCUAGGAGCAAUCUUUUGAGGACAUUCUAUAUGAGUCCUUGGAAGAAUUUCUGGUGUAAUCUCCAAAGAAGUUUUCUGACGAAUUCCUGAAGGAAGCUUUGGAAAAUGCCCUGGAAUGUUUAGCCAAUUCCUGAAAAAAAAAAAAAAUGGAAGAACUCCUUGAGGGGUUCCUGCUAGGAUUUUCGGAAGAAUCUCUGACAGAAUCCCAGAAGCAAAAAAAAACUCUGGCGUUAUUCCUGGACAAACUCUGAAACAAUUAUUCCAGAUAAUCCUGGAAAAACCUGGGUUAUCCUUAAAAAAAAUAUGAGUGGAAUCGCUAAAAAAAUCUCUAGAGGGAUCCAUGGAAGAGUCUUUGGAGGAGUCUUUGGAGGAGUCUGGAAAAACUCUUCAAGGAAACUCCGGAAGGCCUGUAGGAAUUUCAGAAAGAAUACUUGGAGCAUCUCUUUAGGAAUCAAUGAGGAAUCAUUGGUGGAAUUCUUUCAGCAAUUGCAUUUAGGAAUAUUUGAAGAAAUUAUUUGAUCAGAGAAAUUAACUCUGAAUUGCAUUGGAACAGAAUUUUAGCGUCCUCAGCGGACGUGGAUCCAAUAGUCAUCAACUUCACCCCACCGAUCAACUACCUCCAGGUUACGGUAUUAUGUAUUCGCUUUCGGGAAAUAAAGCGACUGAAUAAAAAGUUCUAAGUGAGAGGAGGCCCCAAAUUCAUGACCAUCCUCUUACGAAGCAAAAGUGUAGCCAACUACGCCAAUGACCCCUAAAAUGAAUCUUUGGUUUCCAAUAGUAUCCGAUUACGUGAAAAGGAUGGAAUCCAACCCACAGCUUUGAAACACAAUGCUGUUUUAAAAUUUAAAAAAACAGGACUGUGUUUUCCUAUCAUAGUAGUAAUGAAAGUCUUCUGCAGAAGAGCAUUGUGUAUCCACUCGAAAAGCGCCAAACAUCCCUGGAUCAGAAAAAUAAUGCCUACAGCGCCAGAAUUGAUGACGAACACGAGCCGUGGCGGCGACAUGCGACCCCACCACACCUAGGUAUUAGCCAUGGAAAAGGGGCUGUCGCGGUCGCUAAUUGGAGGGGGCGCCCGCCCGCGUCCAACUCAGAAACCUGAAACAUUAGGAUGGCUCUUAAUUAGCAUAUUUUUACUAUUUUCGUAAACAAUGGUCCUACCGCGCGUCCGCGUGAACGGAUAAAUAAACGUGAGCCGAUCGUGCGAUGAUCGGGGGUCCGGAGAUGAGAGACGGGGUUUUAGAAACGUGUUACUGGAAUGGGAGGGGAUAGCAGGGUGCGAUAGGACCCCGAGAGGCUACGACAAUAUUUGUGCCACUUUUGAAUAUGGUUCUUUGCGUGUACAAACGCGCACACACACAUACUCAUAUGCCUACCGGCAAGACACCGCACGUGUGCCCUCUAUUUGGUGUGCCGGGGCACUGUAAUUUAUUGCUUGGAUGGAUUAAAUUUUCGUAAGAUUUGCAUUUUGCGGCAAAUUAUGAGCUAUUUUUGGAAAGGGCACUGCCGUUUCCACGAAGGAGUAGAUUAAAAACCUUUGAUCGUAGAUUUACUCCCUACCCCCCGGCAAUUGUUGAUCACUCAUACUAAGUUGUUCCACGUGCUGCUAGAUGCUGUUUUUCAUCAUCUUCUUCUUGGCGUAACAUUUCUACUGGAACGAAACUUGAAACUCGGAUUAGUAUGAACACUUCCACAGGUAUGAAUCGAGAGCUUCCCCUGCCAAAGACCAUUUUGCAUGUAUAUCGUGUGGUAUGCACGAAGAUACUCUAUGUUUCACGGAAAAUAGUUCCUGGACCGACCACGAAUCGAAAGCAGAAUCCCAAGUUCAGGAGAAUGAAGGUUUAGGGCAUAAAAAAUGAUUUAUUUGCUUUGACACAUUUCCUGCAUAAACCCUGUUAAAGAGUAAAACUACACAUAAAAAUACAUACAAAUUCACUGAGAAAUCAUGCACAUAAACAAAAUGCCAGAUUUAAUGCACAUUUCCAUUACAUGCAUUGUAAACUUACAUUAUAAAGAACAUGUAAAUUUCAUGUACUAAUUUUAGCAUUCCCUUUUUUUUAUUCUUUAACAACUUAACCUAAUUUACCGCUCUUUUGUCCACUAGGGCACUGCGUGAGCGAUUCUAAUUGACAACUGCACUUACACUUCUGUACAGCGCCUAAAUGUACUCUAUUCUAAUUCUACUAUAUCACACUGGUUGCAUUUGCGCUGCUGUCACUUUUGUACCCUGUUCAUGGUAGAAUGAUGAGCACGAGGAUGUUGAUGUGUGGCUCUUGUUCCUCUUCCAGUCCGAUUGGGGAAUGGGGGUCCAUUACGAGUUGCCUUUAGCCGAUAUCCAAGUUUCCGGGUCCGUUAGAGCAUAUGCUCAGAAGAGGGUCACGUGUCAGCCGCUCUCGGGGGGAAGAGCAACUGACGAAAAAUUGCAAGUGCCGUAGCUGGGAUCGAACCCAUAACCAUCCACUUAUGAAGUGAACGUGUAGCCACGUGUAGGGCUUCGACUACAUUACCUUUAUGCGCAUGAUUUCUCGCUGAAUUUUACAUAGAUAUUCUGUUCUAUGUAAUUGUGCAGUGCACAGAUAAAACUUAAUAAGAACUACAUGUCAUGUAAGUUUAAUUACAGUCAUAUAAACUCUGCAUGAUUUAAUUUAUUUUAUGUCAUGUAAUCACUCUGAGGCAUGCUAAAUUACAUUUAUUGUUACACGUUCCUUCGACACUGUAUAGCAUUGUCAAUAUGAACGCAUGUCCUAAAUUAGAUGUACAGUAAACAUUCGAUAAAUGCAAUGUGCUUACGUUUCAGUUAAUGCACAAAGAUCUGAACAAUGUGAUCAUCAUGUUCUACUUAGCUCGAUUGAUUGGCACCAUAAGUGUAAUUCACAAUUAGUCAGGACACUAGAAUUGUCAUCGAACACAAACUGCAAACUCAAUUUGCAAUUCCUCAACUGCCAUAAACCCCUCGUCAUCAUCAUCAUCGUCGCCAUCAACAGGCUCGAAUAUGCGGCCGGCACAAUGAUCGUCGUUAUAAAAAUUUUCAUUACGGGCCAUAAAUUCAAUUGACCUAGAAAUGGAACAACGGAAAAUAAUACAAAAAUAGUCAAACAAAAUGUCAGUUCACCAGAAGCAGCCAGAGGGGGGAACCGGGGAUGCAUUGCUGUGGUGGGGGCAUCUCGUUGGCCUCCGUCCGUCGUCACCACACCACCACCACCGCCGUUGCAAAACCGCCCCAGCGAUCUCACGCGAGAGUGCGCUAUCGCCUCUAUUCAUAUUAAGUUAUUUGACAGCUCAAGAGAAUAAUUCUGGCACUCGUCGUCGUCGACGUCGUUGCCGUUUCUGCACACUGACUGUGCUUUAUAGCGCAACUGUAGAAAAGAGUCAAUAUUCGUCGGCUCAUUCCACCACCGCCCGUGUAUCCUCCGCACUAGAUGACUGCGGCGUCCAAUAAUAAUAAAAUCCAUCUCACGCAUUUAGCAGCGUUUUAGAGU
Molecule: long non-coding RNA, 34844 nt
Organism: Aedes albopictus (Asian tiger mosquito)
Lineage: Eukaryota; Metazoa; Arthropoda; Insecta; Diptera; Culicidae
Exons: 2
Source: RefSeq, a predicted model, not a curated record